CUGGUUGAUCCUGCCAGUAGUCAUAUGCUUGUCUCAAAGACUAAGCCAUGCAUGUCUAAGUAUAAAUAACUACACAGUAAAACUGCGAAUGGCUCAUUAAAACAGUUAUAGUUUAUUUGAUAUAACAAAUGGAUAACUGUAGAAACACUAGAGCUAAUACAUGCCAUAACCGUAAGGUUGUAUUUAUUAGAUAUUCCUGGUUGGUGAUUCAUAAUAACUUAGCGAAUCGUGACUCGUUUACGAUAAAUCAUUCAAGUUUCUGCCCUAUCAUGCUUUCGAUGGUAGUGUAUUGGACUACCAUGGCUCUCACGGGUAACGGAGAAUUAGGGUUCGAUUCCGGAGAAGGAGCCUGAGAAACGGCUACUACAUCUAAGGAAGGCAGCAGGCGCGUAAAUUACCCAAUCCUGACUCAGGGAGGUAGUGACAAGAUAUAACAACGUGACUAUAAAUCGCGAUUGUAGUGAGGGUAUUCCAAACCGAACUUCGAGUACGAUUGGAGGGCAAGUCUGGU
RNAcentral lists this ribosomal RNA (511 nucleotides) under uncultured eukaryote. Its description in RNAcentral is "SSU rRNA". It matches the Rfam family "Eukaryotic small subunit ribosomal RNA", at positions 4 to 565 of the family's 1831-position model. The record is from RNAcentral.